Arabidopsis thaliana (thale cress) is the source of this 554-nucleotide long non-coding RNA. RefSeq annotates it as other RNA. NCBI's taxonomy places the organism in Eukaryota, Viridiplantae, Streptophyta, Magnoliopsida, Brassicales, Brassicaceae. The record is from RefSeq. The transcript has a single exon.
UUCCUGGUUCGGUCUGUUCUCUGUUCCUUUUUAUCUUCUUGGCGCUUUUGAAAAAUAGAAACCCGCCACUAAAGCGUCAAUCUUCCACGUGUCCCACUCCAGUGCUCUGUUUCAUAUCUUCGGAGACGUCAAUCUGACUUAGGGAUGCUUCAAGUCUACCAUGUGAUUUAUUUUUACGAAGUAAAAUUGCUUACCAAUGGCUGUUUCUCUUAUUAACUUAAACAAUUGUUCCAACAUAUUUGGGAAGAAUGAAUGUAUAGAAGGUUCCCAUUUCUUUCUCUCCCACCAGUCAAGCUCCAUUUCAGUAUGUUGGCGGAGGACGCCAUCAAGGCAGCUGUGAAAGACUACAAGGAGAAGUGUGUGAAAACAAACGGUUAUGCAACAGCCGGAUAAACCACACAGGCUUGAUUUUCUUUUAACCAAUGAGUAAACCAUAACGUGUAUAUGACGGUGAAAACAGGGGAGAAGUAGAAGAGGAUACAUACAACCUAUGGUUUGUAAUGAAACUCUGUUGACAAAAAUAUCCAAGAAUGAUUUGCUUUUGCCCUCUAGUU